UACGUAGGUGGCAAGCGUUGUCCGGAAUUAUUGGGCGUAAAGCGCGCGCAGGCGGUCCUUUAAGUCUGAUGUGAAAUCCCACGGCUCAACCGUGGAGGGUCAUUGGAAACUGGGGGACUUGAGUGCAGAAGAGGAAAGCGGAAUUCCACGUGUAGCGGUGAAAUGCGUAGAGAUGUGGAGGAACACCAGUGGCGAAGGCGGCUUUCUGGUCUGUAACUGACGCUGAGGCGCGAAAGCGUGGGGAGCGAACAGG
Molecule: ribosomal RNA, 253 nt
Filed under: uncultured bacterium
Lineage: Bacteria
Description: partial 16S ribosomal RNA
Rfam family: Bacterial small subunit ribosomal RNA
Source: RNAcentral